Molecule: long non-coding RNA, 1592 nt
Organism: Neofelis nebulosa (Clouded leopard)
Lineage: Eukaryota; Metazoa; Chordata; Mammalia; Carnivora; Felidae
Exons: 3
Source: RefSeq, a predicted model, not a curated record
UCAAUACCUGAUGCCAUGCCUACCAAAGAGAAUACUCUCAACCUCUUUCCAACCCUGAGUUAAGGGUGAGGUGAAAAAAGAGACCCAAGACAUUUAGGCCUGCCAACCUGGCGGGAUCACAUCUUAUGGAGUGAGAUUUUAUAGGAGCGAUUUAUCUUGGAGUUUAAAUAAGUGAGGAUGAAAAAAAUCUGCUGCCAGCUUCCCUACAGAAUUUGCAUAGGAACCAAGAUUAAUAAACACUUAAAAAGUGUAGAGAGAGCUAGAAAUUGGCUUGUGGCCUGCUUAUGCACAGGACUGAGCUGAAAGUCAUCUUGUCCCCAGUAAACAAGUAAUUCCAGAGCUGAAGAAAAACUGUAAAUUAUGCAUCUAGGUCCCUUUCAUUUUCAGAUAUUCUGUAUUUUCUGGGAAAAUGGUCUCAGUAUGGAGGCUAGCCUUUGGGAUAUGGUGCCUUCCCCCCCCCCCCCCAAAUAAAUCUAUAUGGUAACAUCUCUGUAUUGUGAAUUGACUCAGUAAGAAACCAAAGAGACAAAAAGCAUUCAAACUGCUCACAUUCUUUCGUCCUAGGAAGCCGUACCAGCCGAUUUCUAGAUAUGAUCUAUUUUAGCUCAAAGUGCGAUCACACUGUAUAAAAUAUACAUUCACUGAGAAUGAGACCUAGCACAGAUCACAGAUACCCCAGGGACCUGACAUCAGGAAUUAGGACAGGCCAAAAGGAAAAAAAAAAAAAAAAGACAAAACUCUUUAGGCAACAAGGCACAAUUCAAACAUUCAAGAGAGAUUUGUAUUUUUGCCACCCCAAAACAUGCAUUAACUAUGAAGUGGAGACCACAGUUUUAGGAGCUCUGCAUCAGGAAACCUGAAGUCUUGCUGUGCCCUAUCCUGAUGGGUCUCAGUGACAAGAGAUGCCAGAAUGUGGCAUCUUUGUUUAGUACUGUGUACUUUUGCUAGAGUGAUUCAUUACUGUCUUAUCUCAAUUUAAGAGGACAUUAGUAUAUGGAGGGGAGGUAACAGGAUCAAAGGAAAUGAAGAGGUUGAGUGGAGAAAAAGGUGUCACUAUUUCCUAGAAAAUACUUUUCUUACUGUCUGAGGGGGUAAAUUACUUUCUUUAAUUUAUAAACCCCUUUUCAUUUUUUUCCCGGGAAUGAGAAUACUAUGGCUCUACCCAGGUUAGGUUCAGACUUGAAGUUGACAAAUGGCAGUCCUGAAAGCAGACGCAAGUUUCAUUCUCCUAAACAAGGAAAUCAAAUGAUAUGAUACAUGUAAAACCAAGCUGAUAAUAGCCCAAGCUAAGAUUUUAAAGAAACAUCACUCCAACACUUAAAGGGGUGCCUGGGUGGCUCAGUCAGAUGGGGAGCUCUGGCAGAAUGUUCUGGCCUGUGUGCAAUGACUGAAUUCUCUCUGCCAAGGGAUAAAGCUAAAAUCUGCUUUCUUGGAAACCAGCUAAUGUCUUUAAGAAGCAUGACCCCAGUUAGGGAGAGAUUGGGAACUUUGAAUAAAGCGGAGGGUAAGAAAAUAAUUUUCAGCGUUCACAGGUACGGUAAUUUACAAGGAUAUUAGGAUCUGAAUACCAAGAAAUAAUUUAAAAAUAGAAU